GAUGAACGCUGGCGGCGUGCUUAACACAUGCAAGUCGAACGGGAUCGGCUGGAGCUUGCUCCGGCCGUGAGAGUGGCGAACGGGUGAGUAAUGCGUGACCGACCUGCCCCAUACACCGGAAUAGCUCCUGGAAACGGGUGGUAAUGCCGGAUGCUCCAGUUGGAUGCAUGUCCUUCUGGGAAAGAUUCUAUCGGUAUGGGAUGGGGUCGCGUCCUAUCAGGUAGUCGGCGGGGUAACGGCCCACCGAGCCUACGACGGGUAGCCGGCCUGAGAGGGCGACCGGCCACAUUGGGACUGAGAUACGGCCCAGACUCCUACGGGAGGCAGCAGUGGGGAAUAUUGCACAAUGGGCGCAAGCCUGAUGCAGCGACGCCGCGUGCGGGAUGACGGCCUUCGGGUUGUAAACCGCUUUUGACUGGGAGCAAGCCCUUCGGGGUGAGU
This 441-nucleotide ribosomal RNA is filed under the name uncultured bacterium. Its description in RNAcentral is "bacterial SSU rRNA". It matches the Rfam family "Bacterial small subunit ribosomal RNA", at positions 28 to 474 of the family's 1533-position model. The record is from RNAcentral.